CGCAUCUGUGCAUGCAGCAUAUCAAUAAGCGGAGGAAAAGAAACUAACAAGGAUUCCCCUAGUAACGGCGAGUGAAGCGGGAAGAGCUCAAAUUUGAAAUCUUAAAGGGCUUUCCCCUUUACGAAUUGUAGUUUAAAGAAGUGUUUUCUGUUGAGGUUUUGGUAAAAGUUCUUUGGAAUAGGACAUCAUAGAGGGUGAGAAUCCCGUAUUUGACCUGUACUUUCAACUUUGUGAUACACUUUCAAAGAGUCGGAUUGUUUGGGAAUGCAGUCCAAAAUGGGUGGUGAAUUUCAUCUAAAGCUAAAUAUUGGCGAGAGACCGAUAGCGAACAAGUACCGUGAGGGAAAGAUGAAAAGAACUUUGAAAAGAGAGUUAAACAGUACGUGAAAUUGUCAAAAGGGAAGGCGUUUGACACCAGUGUUGUUUUUCUGAAAAUCAAUUAAAGAACUGUUUAUGCUAAGUUGUUUAGACUUUAUCAGCUAACUGUUUAGUUUUGAGCUUUUCUUUAAUGCACUUUUCAGUUAACAAGUCAACAUCAAUUUCUUUUGCUGUAAAAAAGCUUGAGGAAGGUGGCUUGAGAUUCGUCUUAAGUGUUUAUAGCCUCUUGCCUAUGCAGUCGGAGAGAUUGAGGUCUGCAGCGUAGAUCCUUCGGGGCUAAAUGCAUUUGUGCUAAGUUAUAGCAUUUUAUAGACAACUUGUUGACUAUGAUUUGUCUUGUAGCUUACUCGCUUAUGUUAUUUUACCUACGCUUAGGAUGUUGAGCGCAUGUCUCUCUCU
RNAcentral lists this ribosomal RNA (777 nucleotides) under uncultured Neocallimastigales. Its description in RNAcentral is "partial large subunit ribosomal RNA". It matches the Rfam family "Eukaryotic large subunit ribosomal RNA", at positions 26 to 645 of the family's 3401-position model. The record is from RNAcentral. Lineage: Eukaryota; Fungi; Neocallimastigomycota; Neocallimastigomycetes; Neocallimastigales.